GUAGGUGGCAAGCGUUGUCCGGAAUUAUUGGGCGUAAAGCGCGCGCAGGCGGGUCCUUUAAGUCUGAUGUGAAAGCCCACGGGCUCAACCGUGGAGGGUCAUUGGAAACUGGGGGACUUGAGUACAGAAGAGGAAAGCGGAAUUCCAAGUGUAGCGGUGAAAUGCGUAGAGAUUUGGAGGAACACCAGUGGCGAAGGCGGCUUUCUGGUCUGUAACUGACGCUGAGGCGCGAAAGCGUGGGGAGCAAACAGGAUUAGAUACCCUGGUAGUCCACGCCGUAAACGAUGAGUGCUAAGUGUUAGGGGGUUUCCGCCCCUUAGUGCUGCAGCUAACGCAUUAAGCACUCCGCCUGGGAGUACGGCCGCAAAGGCUG
This 373-nucleotide ribosomal RNA is filed under the name uncultured organism. RNAcentral describes it as "partial 16S ribosomal RNA". It matches the Rfam family "Bacterial small subunit ribosomal RNA", at positions 527 to 896 of the family's 1533-position model. The record is from RNAcentral.